This 74-nucleotide transfer RNA is filed under the name Janibacter cremeus. It matches the Rfam family "tRNA". From Rfam's summary of the family: Transfer RNA (tRNA) molecules are approximately 80 nucleotides in length. Their secondary structure includes four short double-helical elements and three loops (D, anti-codon, and T loops). Further hydrogen bonds mediate the characteristic L-shaped molecular structure. tRNAs have two regions of fundamental functional importance: the anti-codon, which is responsible for specific mRNA codon recognition, and the 3' end, to which the tRNAs corresponding amino acid is attached (by aminoacyl-tRNA synthetases). tRNAs cope with the degeneracy of the genetic code in two manners: having more than one tRNA (with a specific anti-codon) for a particular amino acid; and 'wobble' base-pairing, i.e. permitting non-standard base-pairing at the 3rd anti-codon position. The record is from Rfam by way of RNAcentral. Lineage: Bacteria; Bacillati; Actinomycetota; Actinomycetes; Micrococcales; Intrasporangiaceae.
GCCUCCGUAGCUCAGCUGGACAGAGCAAGGGCUUUCUAAUCCCGAGGUCGCGAGUUCGAGUCUCGCCGGAGGCG